Molecule: long non-coding RNA, 372 nt
Organism: Suricata suricatta (meerkat)
Lineage: Eukaryota; Metazoa; Chordata; Mammalia; Carnivora; Herpestidae
Exons: 3
Source: RefSeq, a predicted model, not a curated record
GCAAGUCACUAAGUCCAGCCCACAAUCAAGGGAAGAUGAAUUAGGAUCCACCAUUUAAAGAGAAUAAUGCUGAAAAAUUUUGUGACAUAUUUCAAAACCAUCGCUCACCAGUAUUAGAAACCUUAAAGAGCAGUAAGGAAUGCCAAGUGUCCUCAUUAAGUUUUGGUAACAAGGUUUUCCUGGCAAAAUUAAAAUCACUUUAGGAUGUGGUCUCUCUUUUCUCAUUCUCUCAUAAACUCCUGGAAUAUUUUGUGCAAGCAGAGAGAAAGCAAGAGUCAACCGUUUAUGAGACCAGAUGGAUAUCCCGUCUCUAUUUCAUUCCCUCUUUGUUCUGCUACCCUUUUCAAAGUUAUUAAAAAUCUCAUCUAACUA